Molecule: non-coding RNA, 69 nt
Organism: Spinacia oleracea (spinach)
Lineage: Eukaryota; Viridiplantae; Streptophyta; Magnoliopsida; Caryophyllales; Amaranthaceae
Source: Rfam
AGACGGUGGAGUUCAGGAACCACUUUAAAAACGAGGCGGAUUCUGAAAAGCCAAACGAGUAAGAAAAAC